This 815-nucleotide long non-coding RNA is filed under the name Brassica napus (rape). RNAcentral's name for it is "long non-coding RNA (BNAP_LNC016332)". Lineage: Eukaryota; Viridiplantae; Streptophyta; Magnoliopsida; Brassicales; Brassicaceae. The record is from RNAcentral.
GGUUUAGGGUUUAGUGAUUAAGAUUUAGGGUUUAGUAUUUGGAAGGUGGGGGUUGAGGUUUGGGUUUAGUGACCGUAUUAUGUAUGUUCCAUUUGACGAUUAAUAAAGAAUGUUCUUUUUUGCUCACCAAUUUUUACUAUACUAUGUAUUUUGCUCCAUUCUAUUUGGUUUUAGAGUCUAUACUUGGGUUUAGGGUUUAGUAUUUAGAAGGUGAGAGUUUAGGUUUGGGUUCAGUGAUAGCAUUUUUGAGUUUAGUAUUCAAAAGUUAGGUCUGAGUUUAGCAUUGAGGAGUUGUGUGUUGGAUUGGAGUCCUAUACUAUUCAAAAAUUAAGUUUGGAUUUAGUUUAAUAUUACAUAAUAUUAUAUACUAUUUUCAAAUUUUGAUAAUGGGGUUAAGGUUUAUAUUUGGGUUUAGGGUUCAUUAAUUAGGGUUUAGGGUUUAGUAUUUAGAUGAAAGGGUGGUGUUUAAUGUUUAGGGUUUAGUAUUUAGGAGUUGAGGUUUGGAGUUUUAGUAUUUACUAGAUGUGAGUGGAUUUUGAAUCAUAUUAAUUUUAGUUAUAUGGUAUAAAAAAUCAGAUGCAUAUUUAUGUGUUAAACAAAAGUAUGGUUUUGGUUGUAUUACGUAUGAUAAUUAAUUGUGGGGUGUCAAAUUGUUGAUGUCAUCAGUUUCUCUCUCUAUUACUGGCAACUUGAAUAAAAAAAGGGUAGUACCGGAUAGAAGUUGACAUAAUUGUUAUGGACUUAAUAAUGUCAAAAUCAAUGCUCUGCACUUAAUUUCAUUUUCAAAUUUGGUCAUUUGGCAAAUUCACCCUAAU